Molecule: ribosomal RNA, 429 nt
Filed under: uncultured bacterium
Lineage: Bacteria
Description: bacterial SSU rRNA
Rfam family: Bacterial small subunit ribosomal RNA
Source: RNAcentral
UCGAACGAGAAAGGGGAGCAAUCCCUGAGUACAGUGGCGACCGGGUGAGUAACACGUGACCAACCUGCCCUCGAGUGGGGAACAACAGCGGGAAACCGCUGCUGAUACCGCAUAACAUCUUUGAGUCGGAAGACUUGGGGAUCAAGGGAGCAAUUCGCUUGAGGAGGGGGUCGCGGCUGAUUAGCUAGUUGGCGGGGUAAUGGCCCACCAAGGCGAAGAUCGGUAGCCGGCCUGAGAGGGCGCACGGCCACACUGGAACUGAAACACGGUCCAGACUCCUACGGGAGGCAGCAGUGGGGAAUUUUGCGCAAUGGGGGAAACCCUGACGCAGCAACGCCGCGUGGAGGAUGAAGUCCCUUGGGACGUAAACUCCUUUCGACCAAGACGAUAAUGACGGUACUGGUGGAAGAAGCACCGGCUAACUCUGUG